AGGUAGCGAAAUUCCUUGUCGGGUAAGUUCCGACCUGCACGAAUGGCGUAACGAUCUCCACACUGUCUCGGCCAGAGACUCGGUGAAAUUGCAGUCGCGGUGAAAAUUCCGUGUACCCGCAGAAAGACGGAAAGACCCUGUGCACCUUUACUAUAGCUUGACAUUGGAUUUUGGGCCUGCAUGUGUAGGAUAGGUGGGAGGCUGUGAACCCUGUACGCCAGUAUGGGGGGAGCCAUCCUUGAAAUACCACCCUUGCAUGUUUAAGAUCCUAACUUCUUCCGGUUAUCCCGGAGAAAGACAGUGUCUGGCGGGUAGUUUGACUGGGGCGGUCGCCUCCUAAAGUGUAACGGAGGCAUGCAAAGGUUCCCUCAGCCUGAUCGGAAACCAGGCGCUGAGUGCAAACGCAUAAGGGAGCUUGACUGUAAGAGAGACAUCUCGAACAGGAACGAAAGUUGGCGUUAGUGAUCCGGUGGUCCCGAAUGGAAGGGCCAUCGCUCAUUGGAUAAAAGGUACGCCGGGGAUAACAGGCUGAUCGCAUCCAAGAGUUCACAUCGACGAUGCGGUUUGGCACCUCGAUGUCGGCUCAUCACAUCCUGGGGCUGAAGCAGGUCCCAAGGGUACGGCUGUUCGCCGUUUAAAGUGGUACGCGAGCUGGGUUUAAAACGUCGUGAGACAGUUUGGUCCCUAUCUUCUGUGGGCGAAGGAGAAUUGAGAGGGCCUGUCCCUAGUACGAGAGGACCGGGAUGGACGCACCCCUGGUGAUCCUGUUGUCGCGCCAGCGGCAUAGCAGGGUAGCUAUGUGCGGAAGGGAUAACCGCUGAAAGCAUCUAAGCGGGAAGCCUGCCUCAAGAUAAGUUCUCCCCUCGAAAGAGCUGAAGGGCCCGGGUAGACUACCCGGUCGAUAGGCUGGAGGUGUAAGCACGGCGACGUGCUCAGCUGACCAGUACUAAUAGCCCGAGCGGCUUAUUUUU
Molecule: ribosomal RNA, 971 nt
Filed under: human gut metagenome
Description: bacterial LSU rRNA
Rfam family: Bacterial large subunit ribosomal RNA
Source: RNAcentral